RNAcentral lists this ribosomal RNA (292 nucleotides) under Granaria stabili. Its description in RNAcentral is "partial 16S ribosomal RNA". Lineage: Eukaryota; Metazoa; Mollusca; Gastropoda; Stylommatophora; Chondrinidae. The record is from RNAcentral.
AUAAUCAAUUGGCCUUUAAUUAAGGUCUAGAAUGAAAGGAUAAACGGAUAAACGCUGUCUCUUUUAAAUAAAAUGAAAUUAUUUAAGUAGUGAAAAUACUACUAAAUUAAUAAAAUAGACGAGAAGACCCUUAGAAUUUUACGAAAAAUAAAAUUUAUUUUCGAAUCGUUUUGUUGGGGCAACAAAAUUUAGCAUAAAAUAAAUCAAUUUAAAAUUAAAUAUAAUUGGCCGAAUAAUAGUAAGUGUAAAAAAAUUACCUUAGGGAUAACAGCAUAAUUUUAUUAAAGAUUGU